This 376-nucleotide ribosomal RNA is filed under the name uncultured eukaryote. Its description in RNAcentral is "partial 18S ribosomal RNA". It matches the Rfam family "Eukaryotic small subunit ribosomal RNA", at positions 592 to 976 of the family's 1831-position model. The record is from RNAcentral.
CAAUAGCGUAUAUUAAAGUUGUUGCAGUUAAAAAGCUCGUAGUUGGAUUUUGGGUUUGGUAAAAUCGGUCUGCGUUAUGUAGUACUGACUUGCCUGCUCUUCUUCUCGAGGUCUAUGGGUGUACUUAACCGUGUGUUCAUAGUGUUCGGGACUUUUACCGUGAGAAAAUUAGAGUGUUCAUAGCAGGCUUUUGCUUGAAUAUUGCAGCAUGGAAUAAUGGAAUAGGAUCAUGAUCUUAUUUUGUUGGUUUCUAAGAUCAAGAUAAUGAUUAAUAGGGAUAGUUGGGGGCAUUAAUAUUUAGUUGUCAGAGGUGAAAUUCUUAGAUUUACAAAAGAUUAACUUCUGCGAAAGCAUUUGCCAAGGAUGUUUUCGUUAA